Long non-coding RNA from Monodelphis domestica (gray short-tailed opossum), 873 nucleotides. The record is from Ensembl. Lineage: Eukaryota; Metazoa; Chordata; Mammalia; Didelphimorphia; Didelphidae.
UUAUUAAUGGUCAUUAGGAAUCAAGGAAUAAAGAGGAUACAAAAUAAAGACCACAUGCCCAUGGCUGAUUAGCCCAUUUCAAAAUCCCCACUCAACACCAUCAUCAUGCUGACGGGAAGCCAAAGAGAGAGGAUGACCCUUCAUGUUCUUGCCUAAUAUCCCUUGUCUACAGGAAGUAUGUGAUGACAGGAAGUCAGUGGGCUUCCAGAAAAUGUAGUUCUUUUUUAGGGUAACAGAUUUUCAAUUAUACAGUUCCCUGAACAGUUUAUGUUAACUCUUUAGAAUCAUGGACUCAGAAUGGAAAAGAACUUGAGACCAUCUAGUCCAACAAAGACCUGGCUAUCAGUGCCUUCUAUACCUUGCCAAUAAGUGAGCAUUCUACCUUUUCCUGAAGACCUUCAGGGAAGGAUUCUUCACUAUUAGAAGAAACAGUUCCUUUCACUUUUCUUUAGUUCUAAUUGUUGCUUCAUCAGGGAAGUCAUUGUUUCUAACAAAGAAGGUGAUGUGUCUUUAGUAAAUAUCAUAGGAGAUGUCCUGAUAAUUGUUGUGGCCAAAAAGGAUGCAUGUCCUAGUGGUCAUCCUUCUGGUGAUGAACUCUGCUCAACUGAUCAAGUCACCCUGCUGUGUUUUCUUUGGGAAUGAAUCUGGAAAGAGCUCCUGUCACAAACAGAUAAUGGAACCGGAAAGAAUUUCUGAGCAGGAAACUUGGAUCCAGAAAAGGGAAGAGACUUGUUCUAGGUCCUAGAGGAUCAGAGAAAAAAAGACCAGUACCAAACUUUGGGUACAACAGUUUGAUUUGAUUGGUUUGACUACAUACAUCUUUGUCUGCAUAGCCAUCUAAAUGAAAAAUAAACACACGUAUGCCAUUUAACA